RNAcentral lists this ribosomal RNA (494 nucleotides) under uncultured bacterium. RNAcentral's name for it is "partial 16S ribosomal RNA". It matches the Rfam family "Bacterial small subunit ribosomal RNA", at positions 29 to 523 of the family's 1533-position model. The record is from RNAcentral.
AUUGAACGCUGGCGGUAUGCCUUACACAUGCAAGUCGAACGGUAGAGGGGCAACCCUUGAGAGUGGCGAACGGGUGAGUAAUACAUCGGAACGUGCCCAGUCGUGGGGGAUAACGUAGCGAAAGCUACGCUAAUACCGCAUACGACCUGAGGGUGAAAGCGGGGGAUCGCAAGACCUCGCGCGAUUGGAGCGGCCGAUGGCAGAUUAGGUAGUUGGUGGGGUAAAGGCCUACCAAGCCUGCGAUCUGUAGCUGGUCUGAGAGGACGACCAGCCACACUGGGACUGAGACACGGCCCAGACUCCUACGGGAGGCAGCAGUGGGGAAUUUUGGACAAUGGGCGAAAGCCUGAUCCAGCCAUACCGCGUGCGGGAAGAAGGCCUUCGGGUUGUAAACCGCUUUUGUCAGGGAAGAAAUCUUCUGGGCUAAUACCUCGGGAGGAUGACGGUACCUGAGGAAUAAGCACCGGCUAACUACGUGCCAGCAGCCGCUGUAA